UCUUCGGCAAUGGACGAAAGUCUGACCGAGCAACGCCGCGUGAGCGAUGAAGGCCUUCGGGUCGUAAAGCUCUGUCCUCAAGGAAGAUAAUGACGGUACUUGAGGAGGAAGCCCCGGCUAACUACGUGCCAGCAGCCGCGGUAAUACGUAGGGGGCUAGCGUUAUCCGGAAUUACUGGGCGUAAAGGGUGCGUAGGUGGUUUCUUAAGUCAGAGGUGAAAGGCUACGGCUCAACCGUAGUAAGCCUUUGAAACUGGGGAACUUGAGUGCAGGAGAGGAGAGUGGAAUUCCUAGUGUAGCGGUGAAAUGCGUAGAUAUUAGGAGGAACACCAGUUGCGAAGGCGGCUCUCUGGACUGUAACCGACACUGAUGCUCGAAAGUGUGGGUAUCAAACA
This 394-nucleotide ribosomal RNA is filed under the name uncultured bacterium. Its description in RNAcentral is "bacterial SSU rRNA". It matches the Rfam family "Bacterial small subunit ribosomal RNA", at positions 362 to 774 of the family's 1533-position model. The record is from RNAcentral.